AUUGCCUUAGUAACGGCGAGUGAAGCGGCAAAAGCUCAGAUUUGAAAUCUGGCGUCAUUUUGGCGUCCGAGUUGUAAUCUGUAGAGGAGUAUUCGAGUGUAGCUUUGGCUUAAGUUCCUUGGAACAGGGCGUCAUAGAGGGUGAGAACCCCGUUAACGGCCUUAGUCUUAUGCUCAUGUGAAUCUCCUUCAACGAGUCGAGUUGUUUGGGAAUGCAGCUCUAAAUGGGUGGUAAAUUCCAUCUAAAGCUAAAUACUGGCAAGAGACCGAUAGCGCACAAGUAGAGUGAUCGAAAGAUGAAAAGAACUCUGAACAGAGAGUUAAAUAGUACGUGAAAUUGUUGAAAGGGAAGCACUUGCGACCAGACACACUUGCAAUUGAUCAACCUCCAUUUUUGGUGGUGCACUCGGUUGUAGGUGGGUCAGCAUCAGUUACGGCGGUGGGAAAAAGACCAAGGGAAUGUGGCUCUCUUCGGGGAGUGUUAUAGCCCUUGGUGUAAUGCCGCCAGCUGUGACUGAGGACCGCGCUU
RNAcentral lists this ribosomal RNA (528 nucleotides) under Plicaria acanthodictya. Its description in RNAcentral is "eukaryotic LSU rRNA". It matches the Rfam family "Eukaryotic large subunit ribosomal RNA", at positions 74 to 602 of the family's 3401-position model. The record is from RNAcentral. Lineage: Eukaryota; Fungi; Ascomycota; Pezizomycetes; Pezizales; Pezizaceae.